RNAcentral lists this long non-coding RNA (207 nucleotides) under Lathyrus oleraceus (garden pea). RNAcentral's name for it is "Pisum sativum (pea) long non-coding RNA (PSAT_LNC039424)". The record is from RNAcentral. Lineage: Eukaryota; Viridiplantae; Streptophyta; Magnoliopsida; Fabales; Fabaceae.
UUCCCUUCAGGGUUUGGAGGCUGCUCUGAGUUCUCUGUCAGGUAGUCUCUCUCUAGGUUUUGUCCAGGGUUUUGUUCCAAGGAAACCUCAGAGUGUUUUGCUUCUCUUCCUUUUUCUCUCUGUUUUGUUUCAAUGAAACUCUAGUAUUUAUAGGCUAAUAUUGGUAGCUUAGUGGGCUUUUGAGAGAGGUCCAAGUUUAAGAUUUUU